RNAcentral lists this transfer RNA (71 nucleotides) under Propionibacteriaceae bacterium. RNAcentral describes it as "tRNA-Val". It matches the Rfam family "tRNA". Rfam says of the family: Transfer RNA (tRNA) molecules are approximately 80 nucleotides in length. Lineage: Bacteria; Bacillati; Actinomycetota; Actinomycetes; Propionibacteriales; Propionibacteriaceae. The record is from RNAcentral.
GCUCGGGUCGCUUAACGGCAGAGCCUCGGUCUUACAAACCGAUGACGGGGGUUCGACUCCUCCUCCGAGCA